This is a non-coding RNA of Crocosphaera watsonii WH 8501, 79 nucleotides long. NCBI's taxonomy places the organism in Bacteria, Bacillati, Cyanobacteriota, Cyanophyceae, Chroococcales, Aphanothecaceae. The record is from Rfam.
GAGAGCCGUAUGAGGUGAAAGUCUCACGUACGCUUCGGACUGGGAGGAGAGGUAAGUGAUUACCUUUUCGACCCCUAAU